This 213-nucleotide long non-coding RNA is filed under the name Capsicum annuum. RNAcentral's name for it is "long non-coding RNA (CANN_LNC017699)". Lineage: Eukaryota; Viridiplantae; Streptophyta; Magnoliopsida; Solanales; Solanaceae. The record is from RNAcentral.
CUAGAAUUAGAUAGGCGGCAAACGCAAGUUCCUAUGAGAUCGAUACUUGGGCUUUUUUGAAGCCACUUUACUACUUGAUAAGACCACAUACACUUACGUGUGCACUUGGGCGCUGUCAGAAACUCUGUGAAUUUCCUUUUCAAUGGACCAACUCCUCUAGGGAUACUGAUAGGAGACCCACGUUGCUUGAAAAAAUUAUCGACUUGAUCUCCC